UAAGCGGAGGAAAAGAAACUAACAAGGAUUCCCCUAGUAACUGCGAGUGAAGCGGGAAAAGCUCAAAUUUAAAAUCUGGCGGUCUUUGGCCGUCCGAGUUGUAAUUUAGAGAAGCGUCUUCCGCGCCGGACCGUGCACAAGUCUCCUGGAAUGGAGCGUCAUAGAGGGUGAGAAUCCCGUCUUUGGCACGGAUGCCUGGUGCUCUGUGAUGCGCUCUCGAAGAGUCGAGUUGUUUGGGAAUGCAGCUCAAAAUGGGUGGUGAACUCCAUCUAAAGCUAAAUAUUGGCGAGAGACCGAUAGCGAACAAGUACCGUGAGGGAAAGAUGAAAAGCACUUUGGAAAGAGAGUGAAACAGUACGUGAAAUUGUUGAAAGGGAAACGCUAGAAGUCAGUCGCGUCGACCGAGACUCAGCCUUGCCUCGGCUUGGUGUACUUCUCGGCCCGACGGGUCAGCGUCAAUUUUGCCCCUCGGAUAAUGGCAAGGGAAAGGUGGCACCUUUACGGGUGUGUUAUAGUCUCCUGUCGCAUGCGAGGGUUGGGAUUGAGGAACUCAGCGCGCACCUUUGGUGUCGGGGCUUCGGCCCACGUCACGCGCUUAGGAUGCUGGCGUAAUGGCUUUAAACGACC
Molecule: ribosomal RNA, 627 nt
Filed under: uncultured Russulaceae
Lineage: Eukaryota; Fungi; Basidiomycota; Agaricomycetes; Russulales; Russulaceae
Description: LSU rRNA
Rfam family: Eukaryotic large subunit ribosomal RNA
Source: RNAcentral